This 465-nucleotide ribosomal RNA is filed under the name Vreelandella stevensii. Its description in RNAcentral is "partial 16S ribosomal RNA". It matches the Rfam family "Bacterial small subunit ribosomal RNA", at positions 338 to 795 of the family's 1533-position model. Lineage: Bacteria; Pseudomonadati; Pseudomonadota; Gammaproteobacteria; Oceanospirillales; Halomonadaceae. The record is from RNAcentral.
CCUACGGGUGUCUGCAGUGGGGAAUAUUGGACAAUGGGCGAAAGCCUGAUCCAGCCAUGCCGCGUGUGUGAAGAAGGCCUUCGGGUUGUAAAGCACUUUCAGUGGGGAAGAAAGCCUUGGGGCUAAUACCCUCGAGGAAGGACAUCACCCACAGAAGAAGCACCGGCUAACUCCGUGCCAGCAGCCGCGGUAAUACGGAGGGUGCGAGCGUUAAUCGGAAUUACUGGGCGUAAAGCGCGCGUAGGCGGUCUGAUAAGCCGGUUGUGAAAGCCCCGGGCUCAACCUGGGAACGGCAUCCGGAACUGUCAGGCUAGAGUGCAGGAGAGGAAGGUAGAAUUCCCGGUGUAGCGGUGAAAUGCGUAGAGAUAGGGAGGAAUACCAGUGGCGAAGGCGGCCUUCUGGACUGACACUGACGCUGAGGUGCGAAAGCGUGGGUAGCAAACAGGAUUAGAUACCCCGGUAGUC